AAUCGAGUCUACUCACACCUUGAAUUCUGGUGGUUCCGCAUUGGAUUAUUGCAAUAUUUCUCGUUGUUUAGAUUGCACAUGUUAGGAGAGAAAACUCGUGAGCUUGUCUUGGUCGUUUCUCUUCAGGAGAAGAGCUGUGACCAUGCCUCUCAUUGCAGCGCUGCUGGUUGUUAGGGGAUUUUUGUGUAGGAUAUUUGUGAGUACUACGGAACGAUAGACAAGCCUGGUAUUUUAUGAGAAUUAUAGAGAAAUAGACUUGAAGAGACAUUUUUAUUAAAUCAUAGAGUAGAGACUACAAUAGAUUGGUGUAUAAACCCUUUCUAUUCCUUCUUGGGGAGAUGUUCCGGAGAUUGAUAGUGAAGCGGUCCCAAUGGGGCCCCUGAGACAGCUUCGCUCCUGUUUCUUUGAUGACGGUCCUCGUUCCGAGAUCCAGAAGGGAGAUCUUGCUGAUAUUUGGAGGAAGUAAGUGAUUCAUCCUUCAGUGGGGAUGAGGAGUCCUUCAGAGUUCGAGUGUGCCCCAGAAGGGGAGCGAAUGAGGUGGCUGUCUACUAGGCAUAUUUAGAGGCGGGCUUCCGGGGCAGUACCCUUCCCUUAUAACUGAGGUGUCCUCUUACUUUGGUUUCUGUCCCUCUCAACUUACUCCCUUAACCUGGAGGACUUUAAUGGCGGUCCCAGUGCUCGGAGAAUUUCAUGGAUUCUCUGUCGGAGUUCAUGAGAUCCUUUACUCCUACUAUUUUGCCCAUGUGGUGAACAAAGCAGGAUUCUACCACCUGUGAUCCCGUGACGGUGCUCUUUUAGUUGAAGAGCCUUCAAGGCGUGUUAGGGGUAAUUAUUCAUUCGGGGAUGGUUGAAACAAAGAUUGUUUUGUGUUGUUUUACGAAAGUCAUUUUACAAAAAUGUUAAAAUUAGUUUUAUGGAGGUUUAUUUCGUAAAAAUGUUUAGUUUCUUUUUAGAAAAGAUGUUAAUAAGACUUAUUGAAGUUAGUUUUAAGAAGUUUGUUUCAUACAAACUGUUCAGUUUUGUUUUAUGGAAGAUCUUCCGUAAAAAUUGUCAAAAUUAGUUUUACAUAAGUUUGUUUCGUAAAAUAAUUUAGUUUCGUUUUAAGAAAAUGUUCCAUAAUAUUUGCCAAAGUUGUUUUUACUAAAGUUUAUUUUGUUAAAAACUAUUUAGUUUCAUUUUACGAAAGAUGUUUCGUAAAAAUUAUUAGUGUUUUUGUUAAAUACUUUUAAGAAAAUAUUGUUUUUUAUAAAUUCUUUUCCGAGCAAAAAUCGCUUCAUUGAUUUUCUGAGAAGAAUUACUUGAAGUUUGUUGCGAAGUAUUGUUGUAUAAAUUGACUUGGCGUAUGCAAAGUUAUUCUCUCAAUAUUUUGGCUCAUUUUCGUAGAUGAUAUGUUUUCGAGUGAUUUUAGCCGCUGGUUUCUUUUUUUUCUUUUUUUUUUUUGACAGCAAAAAUAUUACAGACUCAUAUAGAUCCUGUAAACCAAAGUGGUAACUCUGAAUCCAUGUGUACGACGAAAGAUGGUUGUUGCCGAGCACUACGUGCCAAACUAUCCGCCCUUGUAUUCUCCGUCCUAGGUACAUGAACAAUAUCUGAGUUGAUGAAACUUCUUCUCAACAGCUUAAUAUCUUCCAGGUAGCUUUCAAAUGCUGGUCAUUCCUCUGGUUCCGAAACCAUCUUCAUCAAUUGAAAACAAUCCGUUGCAAACGUAACAUGAAACUGUCUUAAGUUUCUCAUGCAUUCCAUUGCCCAAAUUAAUGCCUCCAUCUCCGAAUGAAGCGGUAAAAGACAAGCCCUUACAUUCCUUGCUCCUAGUAAACCAUCAAACUCUGAUAAUGUACUGAGCCAACCUUGUCCUGAAAAUAGGUCGUUAUCUUUCCAAGAACCAUCUGUGAAACACCAUCUUCCUGUGGUUCCUACGUUAGGCCUAACUUGUACUUCUUGUGCACACCUGUUGUUACUAACCUGUGCCUCAGUCCACAGUGUUGAUUCUACUUCUGCUAAUCGAAGUGUUUCCCUCGGAUCAAUAUCAAGAUUACUGAAUACUUUAUUGUUUCGACCCUUCCAAAUGUACCAUAGUAUCCAUGCAAACUGAUGAUCCUCCAUCUUUGGAUUAACUCUCCAAAAUAGAUGGUCCAUAUUAGCAAAAAGAGAGCCAAUAGGAAAAAUAUUCGGAUUUGAUGGAAUUUUAGAUAGUGCCCAGACUUGACGAGCUGGGGGACAUUCAAAAAACACAUGGUUUAUUGAUUCUUCAGGAUCACCACACCGUGCACAGCACGUAUCUCUUUGUAUUCCUCUUGCCCUUAGAUUUUUCGUUACUGCCAUACACCCUGAUAUCAACUGCCAUAAAAAAUGCUUUAACUUUGGAGGACACCUCAUUUUCCAGCAGGAAGCUUUAAGUAUAUCAACAUUGGGCUCAUAAAAUUCUGGUGGCUUUUCCUUAUCAGGAUAAAUCCUUUCCACUUUGUACCCUGAUUGUACUGUAUAUUUUCCAUUCUUGGUGAAAUGCCAUCCAUUCCUAUCUUCCAUCCGAUUUCUUCACAAUGGUAUACUUUCGAUUAUUUUUGCAUCGUGUGGAUCCACCAAAUCCCUAAUUGCCUGUAAAUUCCAUGUGCGGGCGAAUUAAUGAGAGAAUCCACUGUGAGCUCCGGGUAACUAUUAUGAAGGUUUUUGUUAGCUGGUCUCGGGAGAGUGGAUGGGAGCCAUGGAUCAUUCCAUACUGAUCAGCCGCUGGUUUCAUUAAGAUGGAUUUAACCCUAUCAUGCAUGAUGAGUUGAUUACUUAUCCCCUAUAUAUUAAUAGAGAAACAUUUAAAAAAUUAUAACUGGUAGUUUGUACUAAUUAAAAAAAUGUUAUGCUGAGUUGUCACCUAAUUAGAAUGCUAAUUUUGCUUACGUGGCGGCUUGAGAAUUAAUAGAGAAUUUUCUUAGUCCAAAACUAAAUUGCUAGAGAAUCCCUUAUUUAUUAAUAGAGAAACAUUUAAAAGGUUAUAACCUGUAGUUUGUACUAAUUUAAAAAUUGCCAUGUUGAGUUGUCACCUAAUUAGAAUGCUAAUUUUACUUAUGUGACGGCUUGAGAAUCAAUUAAUAAUUUUUUUAGUCCAAAACUAAAUUGCUAGAGAAUGUUAUAUUAUAUAGUAUGUCCAUUAUGGACCAUUCAUUUAUCAAAUUUAAAUUAUUAUAUAUUCCUUCCUUAAAUAAAACCUACGGAAUUACCUAAUGUGAUUAAUAUAUAUAUAUAGCAAUUAAUGAUUUUAAAUAAUAAAAAUUUGCUAACAAUAUGUAUACUUUCUAUCAUUUUUGUUUAAUUAUUUAUUAUUAAAAUAAAUUAUACAAAUUAAUUAAUCAUAUAAUAAAAAUUUAAUUUUUUCUUGUAUAUGUUAUAUUUUAAAUUUUUCAAAACGAGUAUAAAUUACUAAAACUAUUAAAAGCCUCACAUUAACAUUUAUGAUCAAGAUUUAAUUUAUUUUCUACAAUAAGAUACAAUGGUUAUAAAAUCAUAUGGAUAAAUAAUUUUAUUUUAAUAGGUGUUUAUGUAAAUAUAUAUAUAUAUAUAUAUGUGUUUACGUUAAUAUAUAUUAUAUCAUUUAAAUUAAACUAUGCAUCACAUAAAAAUACAUACUUAUAUUUUGAUAUAUCGUUGAACAUAUAUUUGAAAUUUAAUAUUUUAAUUUUGGAAUCUUGAUUGUUUUUUUAGAUGAUUAUAAAUUAUUGAAACCACUAAAUAUUCCACAUUAAAAAAAAUUGUUGGUGUAAAAUUUGUUACACAAAUAUGCAAAUAAUCAUAAAAUCAUAUGAGUAGAAACCUCAUUUAAUAAAUAUCCAUAUUAAAAGUAUACUAUAUAUUUAUGUUAAUAUCAUUUAAAUUUAAUUAUAUAUCAUAUACGAUAAAUAAGAUUGAUUAUUUUGAUUUAUUUACACUAAAAUGAUUGUGAAUAAACAAGAGCAGUCGUUUGAUUUAUAUGCGCACACCAAUUUAUUAGAAAAUUUUACAACCCAAGGACACUUUAUGAGUUUCCAAUUACACUUGGAGACACAUUGAACUUUCUACACACAUUAUAUGUGUCUAAAGACUCUAAUACCCUUAGACCAAAUUUUACUUUUUCUUUUCUCUUCUUUUCUAAUUCAUUACAAAAGUUCAUCAUCUCUCCUAAUUUUGUUUUUGUAACCCUCUCUCCUCAUUCCAUUUUACUUUCUCAAAUGUUCAGAUCCUAAUCCAAAUUGAUGAGUGUGAUGAAACAAACCUUGUAAAUAAAUCGAUUGUGAUAAGUUUGGGAUUUACCGUGGAUAAGAUACCAUGGCUAUUACUAGAAGCAGAUUCAAGCUUUAUGGACUUGAACAGAGGAGAUUUGGAGAGUUUAAUGAAGUCACAGAGGAGAGUGAAUUCCAAAAUCCAACUCCGGUGACUAAGGCAAUUAAUCUGUCAAGAAGAUUCGAAUUGAGACUGAAGUUGAGAGUAGUGAGCUUUUGAAGCUUCAGCGGAGAUCUGGGAUUGUGGUUGAGUCGCUGAGGAGAUCUGAGUUCCGAUGAGAUUAAUUAUGAUGACUUAGGAAGGUGGUUAUGGAUAUGAAGAUGGUGGAUACUAAGGUGGUUGCUUGAGAUGAGGAGAUGGUGGUUGACACCGGAGUGGAGGUUAUGGUGGUUAUGGAUACAGAGGCGAUGGAUACGAAAGUGGAUACAAAGGUGGAGACUAUGGUGACAAUAGAUACCGUAAAUGAGGUUGUAUGGUUAUGGAUAUGAAUUUUGUGGUUACUGACUUGGAAACAUCACGCUUGUCCAUACAUCUCCUUCCCAAACAUUAUGUAUGCUUUUGUAAUAUAUGCGGUUUCUAGGUCUGUUAUAUUAUCAAACAUUAUGUAUGUUUAUCAAGUUAAGAUAUUUGAAAUAUUCACUGUAUCACAUCCAUACUAUAUGUGCUAGAAACUUUGUAUAUUUUGUACCCUAACCACAACAAUCACGUCAACAACAAUAACAAUACCUUCUAACAUACAUGUGUAACCACUAUUUCCUAUCCACGACUUUGUAAUCACCAUAUCCUAGCAAAACGCACCGUUUAAUUUAUUAAUAUAAAAAAAAUAACUAAUUUAAUCGUUGCUUUCUUCUAAAUUUUUAGAGAGGGGCAUUUUGGUCUCGAAUCUACCAAGCCGUACAAGUAAAGUGUGCUAAAACCAUAAUGUGUUUUUCACUGCAAAGAAAUGACGAAAUGUGUCUUUUUAUGUAACCUUCUCAAUUUAUUACAUAAUAGUAAUUGAUUUCUUAGUUAUUUAAUAUAUAAUUAUUAUUUUAUUAUUUCAUAAUAUGCAGAAAAAUAAAAAAUAUUUAUUAUGCAAAAAAAGAGGAUCUUAACCUAAGUAUGUAUCUUUUUAAUAAAUUUAAAAUUUAAAUAUUUUCUAAAUCUCAGGCCAAAAAAAAAUAACAAAAUGAGAAUAAACUCAAAAAUAAAUAUUUAUAUUGAGCAAUAACCAAAAUAAAAAAAACGACACAAAAAUGAGAAAAAUAUUGAAGAUAGAUAGAAUUGACACGUGAACGUAAACUUCUUAUAACAAUAAUUAACUUUUAAAUUGCUAAAUCAUGAUAUAAGACUGAGUUGGCAUAGUUUCAUUGUAACCAAAUAGUAGGCCUGAGAUUUUUUGGCCUAAACGUUAACUUCUUAUGCGAUAAGUGAUUUUUUGACCUAAAAUAGUUUUAAAAAUGAGAUCAGCUCAUGAGUAAACAAAUUAUUUAAUUUACAAAAAAAUUUUAAAAAAAUUGUUUUAUGGCCAAAAAUAUUAAUUCGAUAAAGAGUAUAAAUUUAAUUUACGAUAUUUCUUAAAAGUUAUUAUUUCAGUAAUUAUUAUUAUUCCAGUCGAUUACAUUACAUAGCGUUUAAAAAAAUCCGAGUUUAACUAGCAACAAAACAUUAAUAUCAAUCCAAUCCAAUCCAAUCCAAACCAAAUAAUUUGAUUACUCAUAAAUCAUACAUUGAAACUACAUGUGGAGGUCUCUUUCUAUUCAAAUAGAAGAUGCAAAAUAUUCCAUGUAUAGUCUUUUUCGACAUAAAAAAAAUUAUAUCACUGAAACAAGAGGUGGUCUGGAAAGCCAAACCGAAACAGAACAACCAACACACAAAGAUUUCUAUGAAAAGAUUGUACAGUUCUACCUAAUGAAUAAGCAACUGCAUUAUGAGCCCGAAGAUUGUGGAAAAUCUUGAAUGACUGAAAUCUUGUAGUGUUUCUACCUUGUGGUACCUCAAUCAUAGGUAAGAAACACGUUUUUGCAAUCCGAUUCAAAAAUAUGACAAAUAAAACGACAUAUCAUACUUUUCAUUCUCCAACCAAGUGCAUCUAAAACUUAAUGCAAAAAAAAAAAAAAAAAAACAGAUUCAUGUUCUUUUUUUUCGUCCCUAUAAAUUAGAUUUGUCUAGAUGUGUCUUUCCAUUCCCUCGUGUAGUCUUAUUUUGUUGGAUAACGGGUUUGUAUCAUAAAAAUGCUAUUUUUAUCCAUGGCGCGUAGUGUGCAUGAUAUGUAUAUAAAAAUAUCCAAUAACUACGUAACUCCAAUAAAUCAGAAAGUGGUUAAUUACGUCAGUGUGAGUAAUGGUACAUGACAACAUGCUCUUGUUGGAAUUGCUUGACAUGCAAAUUUCCCUAUGCUUCACCAGACCAACAAUGCAGUUUCACUUAUUAACUAUUGACUAUGGGCCUUUGGCUAAUCAAUUAAUUAAGCACUAAUUUCUUUUCAAAACCUUAUUUAAAUGGACAGUAUAUAGGUCUCACUUUUUGGCUCACCACUCGCACCAAAUGCAAUUAUAACCAUAAGUUCAUUACAUCCUCUUCUUAUUAUCUGAGGAGAACUUUUAUAAAUGAACCUUUAUCUCAUGUGUGAUUCACAACUUUGUCAUUUCCUAGGUGUCAACACCACAUUCCACCUUAUAACCUUUUUUAAAUAAUUCUUUUUGGCAUAGACUAAUUACAUGUCAUGUCAUUGCCAAAAACAUAUAGUAUAUGUUUCAUUUUAUGCAUCUUGAUUCUAAGCAUUUAUUCUAAGCAUCUUGCCAAAAACAUAUAGUCUCAUUUCAUGAACGUGUUUACUAAAUUUAGAAUAUUGAAAUUUUUUAUACAACCAUGUCACAAUACUAUUGUAUAAAAUGUAAACUAUGUGGAUAAUAUAAUUUAUAUGCCAUGUUAAGUUAUAUCAAUAUUUUUUAACAUCCAUAUCAACUCGAGAUAAUAUUAUGUCAUUGACCAUCAUAUUAUAUAAUUUUUCAAAUGUAUAUUAUAUAAUAUACUAUGCUGAAUAAACCAGAAACAAGUAGAAUAUUGUGCGGUUUGUCUCUAUGUUGUUGUAUAUUAGUUAGUUAUUACUAGUAAUAUGUUAGCAUAAUAGUUGUGUAUACUCGAUCACAUCAACAAUAUAAUCAUAUUUUUAUUCUGAUUAUAAAUACUUAGAUACAAUAUGAAGAUAUCACUGGAAAAUAAAAUAUAUAAUCCAUGAUAAUUUUAAGUGAAUUG
This is a long non-coding RNA of Brassica rapa (field mustard), 7485 nucleotides long. RefSeq lists it as uncharacterized. The record is from RefSeq and is a predicted model, not a curated record. NCBI's taxonomy places the organism in Eukaryota, Viridiplantae, Streptophyta, Magnoliopsida, Brassicales, Brassicaceae.